GCCGCCGUAGCUCAAUUGGUAGAGCGCGUGAUUUGUAAUCUCGAGGUUGCCGGUUCAAGUCCGGCCGGCGGCU
Molecule: transfer RNA, 73 nt
Filed under: Phycisphaeraceae bacterium
Lineage: Bacteria; Pseudomonadati; Planctomycetota; Phycisphaerae; Phycisphaerales; Phycisphaeraceae
Also listed under: 1 other name
Description: tRNA-Thr
Rfam family: tRNA
About the family: Transfer RNA (tRNA) molecules are approximately 80 nucleotides in length.
Source: RNAcentral